GACGAACGCUGGCGGCGUGCCUAAUACAUGCAAGUCGAACGCAGUGGGGACGGGUGAGUAACACGUGGGUAACCUCCCAUCAGAGGGGAUAACACUUGGAAAAAGGUGCUAAACCGAUAGUGAUGGCUGGACCCGCGGGGCAGUAGCCAGUUGGUGAGGUAACGGCUCACCAAGGCCACGAUCCAUAGCCGACCUGGGAGGAGGAGCGGCCACACUGGGACUGAGACACGGCCCAGACUCCUACGGGAGGCAGCAGUGGGGAAUCUUCGGCAAUGGGCGAAAGUCUGACCCAGCAACGCCGCGUGAGUGAAGAAGGUUUUCGGGUCGUAAAGCUCUGUUUGUGGGGAAGCGGUAUUUAACCAGGAAGCAACGGCUAACUACGUGCCAGCAGCCGCGGUAAUUC
RNAcentral lists this ribosomal RNA (403 nucleotides) under uncultured bacterium. Its description in RNAcentral is "partial 16S ribosomal RNA". It matches the Rfam family "Bacterial small subunit ribosomal RNA", at positions 28 to 526 of the family's 1533-position model. The record is from RNAcentral.